Molecule: non-coding RNA, 45 nt
Filed under: Schistosoma mattheei
Lineage: Eukaryota; Metazoa; Platyhelminthes; Trematoda; Strigeidida; Schistosomatidae
Source: RNAcentral
AUUCAGCUGACGAGUCCCAAAUAGGCUGAAACGUACGUCUUAGAU